RNAcentral lists this unclassified non-coding RNA (328 nucleotides) under soil metagenome. Its description in RNAcentral is "partial contains 5.8S ribosomal RNA, internal transcribed spacer 2, and large subunit ribosomal RNA". The stretch from base 1 to 120 matches the Rfam family "5.8S ribosomal RNA", at positions 35 to 154 of the family's 154-position model. The record is from RNAcentral.
GAUGAAGAACGUAGCGAAAUGCGAUAAGUAAUGUGAAUUGCAGAAUUCAGUGAAUCAUCGAAUCUUUGAACGCACAUUGCGCCCCUCGGUAUUCCGAGGGGCAUGCCUGUUCGAGCGUCAUUAUAACCCUUCAAGCUCAGCUUGGUGUUGGGGCCUGCUGUAACUGGUAGCCCUUAAAAUCAGUGGCAGUGCUAUUAGGCUCUAAGCGUAGUAUUUCUUCUCGCUAUAGUGUGUAGUGAGCGCUUGCCAGAACCCCAAACUUUUAUAUGAUUGACCUCGGAUCAGGUAGGGAUACCCGCUGAACUUAAGCAUAUCAAUAAGCGGAGGA